This 495-nucleotide ribosomal RNA is filed under the name uncultured bacterium. RNAcentral's name for it is "partial 16S ribosomal RNA". It matches the Rfam family "Bacterial small subunit ribosomal RNA", at positions 28 to 507 of the family's 1533-position model. The record is from RNAcentral.
GAUGAACGCUGGCGGCGUGCCUAAUACAUGCAAGUAGAACGCUGAAGGAGGAGCUUGCUCUUCUGGAUGAGUUGCGAACGGGUGAGUAACGCGUAGGUAACCUGCCUGGUAGCGAGGGAUAAUUUUUGGAAACGAUAGCUACUACCGCAUGACAACAGUUAUUUCAUGAUUUCCGUUUAAAAGGUGCACCUGCUUCACUACUACAUGGACCUGCGUUGUAUUCGCUAGCAGUUGAGGUAACGGCUAACAAAGGCGACGAUACAUAGCCGACCUGUGAGGGAGAGCGGCCACACUGGGAUGAGGACACGGCCCAGACUCCUGCGGGAGGCAGCAGGAGGGAAUCUUCGGCAAGGGAAGGAAGGCUGAACGAGCAACGCCGCAUGAGAGUAGGAGGAUUUCGGAUCGCAAAGCUCUGGUAUAAAAGAAGAACGAGUGUGGGAGUGGAAAGUGCACACUGGGACGGUAUCUUACCAGAAAGGGACGGCUAAAUACGUG